GCUCCUCGGCGUCCUCCUCCCCUGCUGCUGUGCGUCCUCCUCCCCUGCUGUUGCGUCGCGUCCUCCUCCUCUGCUGCUGCAUCACAAGCUCCCUACUGGUUUGUCCAUUUUGUUUCUUCGUUUUGCGGCUGACCGGAGAAGAACAGGUAAGAAUUCGCAACUACAGAUAUGUUUCUGCGUCCUCAUCUUCUACAUCGUAGAUUUGUCUGUUUAGUUGGAUAUCAGUUCAUGAAAAAUAGGUUACCUAACUUAAUAAAUUCCAUGUACCAUUAAUAAUUUUAACGAGAUUCAAUUGGAGGAAAUAUAAUUUUAAAAAGAAUGAUUUAGGCAUGUUUCUAUUCUAUAAUUCUGUUUGUGUGUUUCAUCGUCAAUUGGAGGAAAAUAUAAUUAAAAAAAGAAAGAUUUAGGCAUGUUUCUGUUCUAUGAUUCUGUUUGUGUGUUUCAUCGGACUGGAAUUUUGGCGAUUUCGCUACUAUAUUAAAAGUACUAACUCUAAAUAUAAUUAUAGGCUUCUUAUAGUUCGAAUUCCAAGCUCCGGAAAUAAAUUCCAAUUUUUUUUCUGAUUUUCCUAUCCUCUGCUUCCACUAAACUUCUCUUCAGGAAAAGAUUGCUCUUAAGUUUCUGGCAGUAGCACGUCGUAAUUUAUAUCUUAUAAAGAUAAAGUUGAAUGAAAAAUCUGUAAUAUCUGUAGUUGCGAUUUUUUUUAUUCUUUUUUAUAUUCAUGUGAUGACGCACGUUGUAAUUUAUAUCUUAUAAAGAUAGAGUUGAAUGAAAAAUCUAUAAUAUCUUUAGCUGCGAUUUUUUUUCUUCUUUUUCAUAUUCAUGUGAUGAAUCAAAUACUUCUUUAUUGUAUACCUUGUGGUGAAACAACAACAACAACAACAACAACAACAACAACUACCCAGUAUAGUCCCACAAAGUGCGGUAUGGGGAGGGUAAUAUGUAGACGGGCCUUACCCCUACCCGAAAGGGCAGAGAGGCUGUUUCCAAUCGACCCUCGGCUCAGUGAAGCAAAAGGAACAACAAAAACAAAAACAACAACAAAAGAGCAUUAGUAGCUUCAGAAGAAAUAGCGUAAAUAAUUAUCUAAACAUAAGAACUAUAAGUAAAAUAGCAUGCAAUAAUAUCAGACAGUAACUACCAUAAAUAACUACCAUACGGGAGACACAAUACAAUACACAAAUCAUCUAUGGAUAGCUCUGCCAAGCCUCACCCAACCCCGGGUGAGGGGUACGAAAAUUUCUAGGGGCCCCUAUCCUACAACCCUGAUACUAGACCUCCAGACUUUCCUAUCAGGGCCAUGUAUACUUUGUGGUGAAUCUAAUUCGUUAAACUCCUCUAAGUCAAUAGCACACAAACAUAGGCUUGUUGAAUAUGAACAGGCAUAGUUUUAUGAUAAAAAAAUUAGAAACAGAAUAUGAUAAAACCUACGGUUAAAGCUGCUGGAGAAAUUUACCCAUGCCUUAUAUUCUUUGGAAAAACCUUUACCAGGAAUAUAGAGAUACGAGCUUUACGAAAGUAUGUAAUCACAAUCCAUUUUGUUGGUUGGCGAAGUAAAGCUGUUGUAAAAGGGCCUAUUUCAGUGUUAUCAACUGCGUGCUUAAGACCUGAAGCGAUGCUCAAAACAUGUUGAGCGUUUCGCCUCGUUUAGUGAGCGCUUCAUUUAGCUUUCCAGUUCAACUAAAAGGCUUAUGUUUCUAAGCCUUUCUCUAUUCUAGUUUUUCCAGAUAUAAUAACAACAACAACAACAACUACCCAGUAUACUCCCACCAGGUGGGGUCUGGGGAGGGUA
RNAcentral lists this long non-coding RNA (1792 nucleotides) under Nicotiana benthamiana. Its description in RNAcentral is "long non-coding RNA (NBEN_LNC036882)". Lineage: Eukaryota; Viridiplantae; Streptophyta; Magnoliopsida; Solanales; Solanaceae. The record is from RNAcentral.